ACGAAGGGUGCAAGCGUUAAUCGGAAUUACUGGGCGUAAAGCGUGCGUAGGCGGUUUGUUAAGUCCGAUGUGAAAGCCCUGGGCUCAACCUGGGAAUGGCAUGGGAAACUGGCAAGCUAGAGUGCGGUAGAGGGGUGCGGAAUUCCCGGUGUAGCGGUGAAAUGCGUAGAGAUCGGGAGGAACAUCCGUGGCGAAGGCGGCACCCUGGACCAGCACUGACGCUGAGGCACGAAAGCGUGGGGAGCAAACAGG
This 252-nucleotide ribosomal RNA is filed under the name uncultured bacterium. RNAcentral's name for it is "partial 16S ribosomal RNA". It matches the Rfam family "Bacterial small subunit ribosomal RNA", at positions 525 to 776 of the family's 1533-position model. The record is from RNAcentral.